RNAcentral lists this transfer RNA (73 nucleotides) under Actinia tenebrosa (Australian red waratah sea anemone). Its description in RNAcentral is "tRNA-Ile". It matches the Rfam family "tRNA". From Rfam's summary of the family: Transfer RNA (tRNA) molecules are approximately 80 nucleotides in length. Their secondary structure includes four short double-helical elements and three loops (D, anti-codon, and T loops). The record is from Rfam by way of RNAcentral. Lineage: Eukaryota; Metazoa; Cnidaria; Anthozoa; Actiniaria; Actiniidae.
GGUCCGUUAGCUCAGUCGGCAGAGCGUGGUGCUAAUAACGCUAAGGUCAUGGGUUCGAGCCCCAUAUGGACCA